UGCAGAUCACAGUUUUGGGGUCUCCUCUGGUUAGAGCCUGGCCCAUUCGGGUUUGGUUUUCUCCUGGAUGUUCAUUCACAGGUGAAUAAGGUCAAUUCACCGUGGAGUCUGCGUCUGAAUCCUUGUUUCUUAGGUCAUCCUGGGGUCCCAGCUGCCCGGGAUGAAAAAACGAUACCCGGGUACCAGGGAUUGGGGAUCAGGAACGCCCGCGCUCAGGGUAACCGCUACCCUCCCCCGCCACCGCGCACGCGCCGCUUCUCUGCCAAGGAAGGGGCGGGGAGUGGGCGGGGCGGGCACCUUUGGGGCCAAUUGGAAGCGAGCAUCCCCGCCCUCCGAGCCGAUGGACCGAGUUUGACCCCGGCGGUGGGCGGAGGAGGCGGGGCGAGCCGCGCAGCCAGGAAGGGGGCGGGGCCCGGGGCCUGGAGGCGGGGCCUGGGGCUGUCAGUCCCGCGCCCGCCGCCGCGCCGCGGCUCCUUGCAUGCCGUGGCCCGGGUGGCUGCCAACGCUGCCGCCCGCCGCCCGCCACCCUGGCACCCCGAGCCGCCUCCCGCCGCCCCGGCCUGGCGCGCAGGCCAUCAGCAAGUCCUGUUGAUUCUACCUUCAAAAUAUAGCCUGGAUCUGACCACUUUUUAUCUCCAUAUGGGAGGUUCCUCUGAUGCUGUCUCUGGGCUGAUAAAGAGUCUAGAGUUGUCUCUAGUCAAGGAGAGUUUAUAUCCUGCCUGUAGGCAGAAAGUAGGGUAGGGUGAGCUUUUUCUCUGUUUACUGCUUCUUAAUUGCCUUUAGCUAAAAAGUAAUUUUUAUGUCAGAGGAAUAUUUUGGGGUGACAUAUUCCUGUUUCCUUAAGCCCAAUGGAACAGAUUAGAGAAUUUAGAAAGAGAUCUUUAUAUGAUCACUUGUUUUAUGACAGAGUUGACACUAAAAUACAGUAGAGAAAGGAUGUCUUUUCAAUAAAUAGUGCUGACUCAAUUUAGUAACCAUAUGGAAAAAAAUGAAUCUUCCUCAAGCCAUUCACAAAUAUCCAUUCUAGCUGCAUUGUAGAUCUAUAUAUAUUAGGUAAGACAAUAAGGCUCUUAAAAGAAAACAUAAGCGGAUAUCUGUAUACCCUUAAGAAUAACCAAAUGUUUCUUAAACAUUACACAAAAGGACUAACUAUAAAGGAAAAUAUUGAUAAACUAGAUUAGACUAAAAUCAAGAAAUUCUGAUCAUCAA
Molecule: long non-coding RNA, 1209 nt
Filed under: Papio anubis (olive baboon)
Lineage: Eukaryota; Metazoa; Chordata; Mammalia; Primates; Cercopithecidae
Description: lncRNA (ENSPANG00000037465.1)
Source: RNAcentral